AAUAUCUGUUUUCUCAGGCCCUUUCGAAGCUGUGAUCUUCUCCCAUUCCAGUGAUGUUAAAAUAUUGAAAAUUUUGUAGACUUUUCCCUUCACAAAUCUUGCAGCAGAAAAUUUUCUCUUCUUUUAAUUAGCUCAAUGCAAGAAGCCACAUUUAAGACUGCGCAUCUCAAUGCCUGAAGUAAAAACCACGGUCACAAGGGAUGUGUGUGGAAUGGAAGAACACUGGAAAAACAAGAACCUGACCUAAAUGGAUGGCCAAAUACCGCAGCUGCACAUGCAGGCUUGUAUCCACGCCAGAUAGACACAGAGCUGGAAGAAGAUGGGGUGUGAUUGGAACUGCUCGGCAUUGGUUACAGGUAAGUGAGGAUCAAAUCCUGUCUACUUAUAGCCCUCUGUCCAGCUGGUGUGUCACCAAAUAAAAAUCAGCCAGAGGUAAGAG
RNAcentral lists this long non-coding RNA (439 nucleotides) under Aotus nancymaae (Ma's night monkey). RNAcentral's name for it is "lncRNA (ENSANAG00000039082.1)". The record is from RNAcentral. Lineage: Eukaryota; Metazoa; Chordata; Mammalia; Primates; Aotidae.